AGCUGCCUUUGUUGGAAAAGCAGUAUUGCCACCUUGAGGUCUAAAAUGGAACAUCCGGGGAGCUGACGUGUUUCCCUAAUUAUUUCUGCAUACUUAUUCUGUUCAGAAAUGUUUCAUAGCUAAUACAGUAUAUACUCCUCCAACUGGAUAAGAAAUGAAGCAAGUUUAAUCAUGAUGCAAAGAAGCACCUGGCCAGCUUGGAUAGAUGGGACAUUUUCUUCCUUUUUUAAAAAAAAAUA
Crotalus tigris (Tiger rattlesnake) is the source of this 239-nucleotide long non-coding RNA. RefSeq lists it as uncharacterized. The transcript is spliced from 3 exons. The record is from RefSeq and is a predicted model, not a curated record. Lineage: Eukaryota; Metazoa; Chordata; Lepidosauria; Squamata; Viperidae.